GUGUGGGAUGGGGUCAGUCCGUAUCUGUGUCCUGUGCUGAGAUGAAUGGACGAUAUGUGAACAUCAUUAUACCUGGAAGUUCAAAAGUUCUCUCUGUGUGUGAUGUACAGGUGUAUAGUCUGAAAGUCAUAAAAGGUUUCAUGAAGAUAAAAUUUACCUCCAGUCUCGAUAUGUCAGAUCCAGAACAGAGCAACAAAGUUCUUAAUGAGAUAAAGACUGCUCUGAUUUCUAGAGGAUACUCUAUUUUCACAUUGACCUGGACAAAACUCCCUCAGAAGAUCAAACCGGAGACUAAGG
Non-coding RNA from Paramisgurnus dabryanus, 297 nucleotides. The record is from RefSeq and is a predicted model, not a curated record. Lineage: Eukaryota; Metazoa; Chordata; Actinopteri; Cypriniformes; Cobitidae.